This 200-nucleotide unclassified non-coding RNA is filed under the name soil metagenome. Its description in RNAcentral is "partial contains internal transcribed spacer 2 and large subunit ribosomal RNA". The record is from RNAcentral.
GUGUGACAAACGGCUCGUCUGAAAUGCCUGAGUGUACCCUGCUUUUGCGGCGUAUUCGGUGUGAUAAAUCUUCGCCGGAGUUUCGACCUUUACCGGUCGGCGCUGUCAUGGUUUGGCUCUAUGCUUUCCAACCGUCCCUGACAAGGACAAUACUCUGACAAUUUGACCUCAAAUCGGGUGGGACUACCCGCUGAACUUAA